CACCAUCAAUAUUUGGUCACAAAUCAACUAGUUGGUAAAAAAUGCCUAAAUAGUUGGUCAAAACACUCUUUAUCUCACCUGUCGUCCCCGCUGCUACCAUCACACCAUCACCAAUGUCAAUACCACAACACCAUCAACAAAAUUGCCAUCAUCAUAGCCAUAGCCACAACCAAUAAAAACAACCCCAACACUAAAACAUGAAAAACCACCACCACGGCACCACUACAAACCACCUACACAUACCACCGUGCACCAGAUCGCAUUGAGCAGCGCCGAUGGAUGGAUGAACAACAGCGCCGAUGGAUGGAUGAACAACAGGUCUCAUAAUCAAUGCUGACAUGUACCAUAUUAUGACACAACAACAAACCCAACAAACUGGAUCGCGAAAUACCAACAAAAACAGCGACGUCAUCCAUUGAUGAAUCUAUGCUGCUGCUUAGUGGCCCCAUCUAGGGCUUCAUUUAGACUCGGCAUACCAACAUACCAGCUACGUCAUCCAUUGAUGAAUCUAUGCUGUCGCAUAGCAACCCCAUCUAGGGUUUCAGUUCAGGUGCGUAGCGAUGAUUUUUUCUUCAUCGUUACUGCACGUGACAGCUCUAUCAACACCACCUCGUAGGUGACCCUGUGAGAGAAGAUUGAGACAGAGAGAGAAGAUUCGACAUGUAGUGACGGUUUUCCCAUCAUUUUCGCACUAUAAGAGCAUUACCUUGAAGAAGAGAAGGGUAAAUAGUAGAGAGAGAUGGGAUGGGAAAUAUUUUAGGUUUUGUAGUGCGAGUGGGUAAAUUUAUA
This 789-nucleotide long non-coding RNA is filed under the name Olea europaea subsp. europaea. The record is from RNAcentral. Lineage: Eukaryota; Viridiplantae; Streptophyta; Magnoliopsida; Lamiales; Oleaceae.